This is a long non-coding RNA of Micropterus dolomieu (smallmouth bass), 619 nucleotides long. RefSeq lists it as uncharacterized. The record is from RefSeq and is a predicted model, not a curated record. The transcript is spliced from 2 exons. NCBI's taxonomy places the organism in Eukaryota, Metazoa, Chordata, Actinopteri, Centrarchiformes, Centrarchidae.
UGCUGCAUUCCGUUUACCUCGGAAGUCGGAACUGGGAAUGAAAACCAGGAUCAACCGGCUGAUGCCCACGUGUCCACAGAUGGGAGAGUUCCCAAGUGUGAUAAACACUUUCUCGCUACAGCUUCCACGCGGUUGAUGCUCGGGGCAGCCAUCUUGGAUUCUGAGGUCGGGGUUGGUGAGGUUGUCCCGACUUUCCGAGUCGGAAACACGACUUAGGCGUUCAAGUUGAAAUUUCUGACUGGGAACUGAGAAAUCCCGACUUCCCGUGUCAAAUGAAACGCUGCAUAACUCCAUAUUGCCCAGCCCUGGUUUGUGUGUUUUUGUCGCCCUCUGCGGCGACUCUCAGGGAUGUCUUACCUGCUGCUGUUGGGUUUAUUUACAGGGGGGCAGCACACAGCAGGAGGAAGCCUAAAGACCUCCUCCUCAGCUCCUCCUCCCAUGUCUUCUUCUGAUGGACCAGCUUUAAAGGCUGCAGAGAGAGUGAUGGAGGAGAAGGAGCAGAAGAAGAGAGAAGACGGGUGGAGUCACAUUUAAACGUUUCUCCGCAGCUGCUUUUCUCUGGAUCAAACUGGAUCUUUUUGAAACUUUAACGUCUCAUCAGUAAAUAAUCACAAGUGUU